Molecule: long non-coding RNA, 3007 nt
Filed under: Sus scrofa (pig)
Lineage: Eukaryota; Metazoa; Chordata; Mammalia; Artiodactyla; Suidae
Description: lncRNA (ENSSSCG00055019191.1)
Source: RNAcentral
AUGAUUCUGAAAUUCCAGGAGUUAAUGACUAGCUCAAGGUCACAUGUCCGGCCUUGAGGCCAGAGUCCAGGUCCUUUGGCUUCUGCGCCAGGAUUUUUUCAGGACCUUGAACACGUCUGGUUGCGGUCCUGAACAGAGGAGGACACCACUCUGGAUGGUGGGGAGGAGGUGGCAGCAGUGACAGGAGAUGGGCCACACCCUGGGAGGACCAGAGCACAGCCGGCGAGACGGAAACGCUGGGCUCUAUCGCCUGGGGGUUGUAGCAUCCCGGGCGGCCUUCUGAACCGCCUUGAGCCCGUUUCCUCGGCUAUAAAACGGGGAUAACUCCCGGCUACGGGAGCUGCGCAGCAAGGAGAUAACGUAGGUCGAGUUUCUGGCACAUGAUAGGCACUUAAUAAACGGUGGCUCUAGUUACUAUGUUAAGAACUCCGUGAAUGUAGACAACGGGCACCUUUUACCUUGAAGCAGAGAGAAGGACACAUCGACACAGGAUACACACGUGCACCUCUGUGGGUGGACACAUUUCAUCGCUUCAGAAUGACAACCCUGAGGGAUAAGGGGCGCUCAGCUCGGGAGAGAGCACCUUUGGUGCAAGGAACAUGCGCUUGGACGUUCUGCGCUCUGCUCCAGCCCCGGCAGCUCUAUUUCCAACCCCUGUGACACUUGGCAGUUGGCCUCCAGAACCUCGGUUUUCUCAUCUAUUAAAUGGGCACAAUAACGGUUGUCAUGAGGUUAAAUGUAGGCACCUGGGCUCUAGCAGGUGCUCAUUAAAUGUCAGAGCCACUCCCCUUUUGUCCUCGACUCCGUGUCAGAAGGCAGUGGGUUAAGCACUCAAAGAAGACCUGCUGCAAAACGAAUAUAUGAAAGGAGUGAUAAAUCAACUGAAAUAAUCCAAAAAGCUAAAAACGAGCAGUUUCUAUGUGUGUAAAAAGUACAGUCUCUCCCUGAAGUAAUUAAUGCUGAACGGAAAAAAAAAAUCUGGAAUUGACAAGCAGGAACGUACUUUUCCCCUAUUCAAUAAAUAAAUAAGAAUGGUUAAGUCUAGAAGUGCCCCUUGUGGUGCAGUGGAAAGGAACCCGACUAGUAUUCAUGAGGACGCGGGUUCGAUCCCCGGCCUGGCUCAGAGGGUUAAGGAUCCGGUGCUACUGUGAAGCUGUAGUAUAGGUCGCAGAUGUAACUCGGAUCCCAUGUUGCUGUGGCUGUGGUAUAGGCUGGCAGCCGUAGUUCUGAUUUGAGCCCAAGCCUGGGAGCUUCCAUAUGUCAUGGGUGUGGCCCUAAAAAGAAAAAAAUAAAAAUAAAAAAAGAAUGGUUAGGUCUAAGCGUUCUGUAUUACUCAGGACUUUGGGCUUCUCAGGUUUCUAUUUUGACCUGGUUGAAAGAGACCACUGAAUUGCAAGUGAGCAGAAAUUUAUUUCAUUGUCUGACUCACAAAACAGACACAUGGGGCAAGAGUGAGCUCCUGUCACCCAGCCCAGGGACAGCACCUCCACCUCAACCACACAGAUAACGGGGACUGACAGCGACAGUCCAGCCACACUCGGCUCAGAGCCCCGUGGGGAGUCCCCUCCCAGGACAGGACCAAGGACACCUGUCUCUGGAGACACGUGGGAACUCCACCACGGGUGUCACAGGGCCACUGGCCCAGGCUCAGUGGUCUGGACAAGUUCGCCAGCCUGAUCACUCCUGCACCUCCCAGCGCUGUCCAUGGCCACAUGGGAACAGGGACCGAUGGUGAAAGGGGAGCGGUGGGGGUGGGGCUGGUGGGAGGAUGCUGAUGAGCAGACGAGGGAUGCGGGGUGCGGUGUCCGGGGUCCCCAUGCCGACCCAGCGCCAGUGAUGCUGCCGCAGCCACCUUAGCAAUUCCUUGCCGAACCGCCACACGGGGUAUUUAUCUGCCUCAGAGGACAGUUACAGUCUAAAAAUUCCCAGGGUCCCCCCAUGUCAUCUGGCCUGCCACGCCGGCUCGGCCUCUCCCCAACACGCCAUCCCUCUGGCUGCGACUUUGCCGUUUUGUCAAGCAAACAAAAUGCAUGCCUUCCUCAUCAACACUAUCUCCACGAAAACCUAGUGAAAAAGUAAUAAAAGUGACAUGGAGUUUAUUAAUAUUCACACUGCUGCCCACUGCCAGCAGCCGCACGUGCGCCAGCAACAGAGGAGGAGGCUGCCGGCAGCCGGUUCUCAGGGAACCGUGGUCCCUGUCAUCCAAGUGACCGUCAGCACAGCGGGAGGCUCCUGAGCCAAGGGUGUGGCCGAAAUAUAACUGCACGGCCAUCGAGAGGUCCAGCUGGGUGGGUGGCCGGCUGGGUGGCCUGCAGGGUGGCUGGGGCUACCCCCACCAUGAAACGGGGCUGAAGAUGCCAACCUGGUUACAUGACAUCGGUAGGACCAGGAGGCAAACCUCUGGAGCUCAUGACAGAAGUGGGCAAACGUUUUCCAAGGGGCCAGAGGAAAGCAAAGAAUCAGAACAAAUCAGGGCUGUUCUACUGAAGGCGUCACAGGACGAACAGUCUGUUACGACCCACACGAACUAAAGGAGCAGGAAGGAUGUGCACUCAUGAGAAAACUGUGGGCAAAGUUGCUGACUGUGCCCCCAAAGGAUGGUUUGGACAAAUUACCCCCAGGCAUGGGGAAGCAUGCCUGGGGAAUAGGUGGUGAUCAAAACAGAGCCUAGUGGACUCGUAUCCCGCUGAAGACAGCCUGGCUGUGAUCACAGUGACUUCGAACCUUCCUUACAGGAGUCCCCUUGAGAGACAGGACUACUUCUUCUUUUUUUUUUUUUUUUUUUUUUUUUUUUUUAUUGGCUUUUUUGCUUCUUUGGGCCUCAUCCGUGGCAUAUGGAGGUUCCCAGGCUAGGGGUCGAAUCGGAGCUACAGCUGCCAGCCUACAUCACAGCCACGGCAACGUGGGAUCUGAGCGUCAUCUGUGACCUACACCACAGCGCAUAGCCACCCACUGAGCCAGGCCAGGGAUCGAACCCAUAUCCUCAUGGAUACCAGUCGGAUUUGUU